RNAcentral lists this ribosomal RNA (505 nucleotides) under uncultured Desulfobulbus sp. RNAcentral describes it as "bacterial SSU rRNA". It matches the Rfam family "Bacterial small subunit ribosomal RNA", at positions 903 to 1382 of the family's 1533-position model. Lineage: Bacteria; Pseudomonadati; Thermodesulfobacteriota; Desulfobulbia; Desulfobulbales; Desulfobulbaceae. The record is from RNAcentral.
GCCAGCCCGCUCAAGAACUUAAAGGAAUUGACGGGGCCCGCACAAGCGGUGGAGUAUGUGGUUUAAUUCGAUGCAACGCGAAGAACCUUACCUGGUCUUGACAUCCCGGAGACCCUUAGGAAACUAGGGGGUGCUUCCAUCUGGAAGAAUCUGGAGACAGGUGCUGCAUGGCUGUCGUCAGCUCGUGUCGUGAGAUGUUGGGUUAAGUCCCGCAACGAGCGCAACCCUUGCCUUUAGUUGCCAGCAGUUCGGCUGGGCACUCUAAAGGGACUGCCGGUGUUAAACCGGAGGAAGGUGGGGAUGACGUCAAGUCCUCAUGGCCUUUAUGACCAGGGCUACACACGUACUACAAUGGCCGAUACAAAGGGCAGCGACACUGCGAGGUGAAGCCAAUCCCGUAAAAUCGGUCUCAGUCCGGAUUGGAGUCUGCAACUCGACUCCAUGAAGUUGGAAUCGCUAGUGAUCGCGCAUCAGCCAUGGCGCGGUGAAUACGUUCCCGGGCCUU